This 435-nucleotide ribosomal RNA is filed under the name uncultured bacterium. RNAcentral describes it as "bacterial SSU rRNA". It matches the Rfam family "Bacterial small subunit ribosomal RNA", at positions 355 to 787 of the family's 1533-position model. The record is from RNAcentral.
UGAGGAAUAUUGGUCAAUGGGCGGGAGCCUGAACCAGCCAAGCCGCGUGAGGGAAGAAGGCCCUAUGGGUCGUAAACCUCUUUUGUCAGGGAACAAAAGCGAGUAUGUAUACUAGUCUGAGUGUACCUGAAGAAAAACGCAUCGGCUAACUCCGUGCCAGCAGCCGCGGUAAUACGGAGGAUGCGAGCGUUAUCCGGAUUUAUUGGGUUUAAAGGGUGCGUAGGCGGCGAUGCAAGUCAGCGGUAAAAGCCCGGGGCUCAACCCCGGCGAGCCGUUGAAACUGCAGUGCUAGAGAAGGCGAGAGGUACGCGGAAUGCGCAGUGUAGCGGUGAAAUGCUUAGAUAUUGCGCAGAACUCCGAUUGCGAAGGCAGCGUACUGGCGCCUGACUGACGCUGAGGCACGAAAGCGUGGGUAGCGAACAGGAUUAGAUACCC